GCCGGGGUGGGGUAGCAUGGUUUAUCCUAUGGGACUGUGGAUCCCAUGACUCGGGUUCAAAUCUCGGCCCCGGCCCC
Molecule: transfer RNA, 77 nt
Filed under: Candidatus Methanofastidiosum methylothiophilum
Lineage: Archaea; Methanobacteriati; Methanobacteriota; Candidatus Methanofastidiosia; Candidatus Methanofastidiosales; Candidatus Methanofastidiosaceae
Description: Arc I group archaeon U1lsi0528_Bin089 tRNA-His
Rfam family: tRNA
About the family: Transfer RNA (tRNA) molecules are approximately 80 nucleotides in length.
Source: RNAcentral